This is a non-coding RNA of Trametes punicea, 106 nucleotides long. The record is from the annotation of a GenBank genome assembly. NCBI's taxonomy places the organism in Eukaryota, Fungi, Basidiomycota, Agaricomycetes, Polyporales, Polyporaceae.
GGCGAGAUGGCCGAGCGGUCUAAGGCGCCAGAAUCAGGUGUUGAGCGCAACAGUGCUCUACUUCAUCUGGUCCGAAAGGGCGUGGGUUCGAAUCCCACUCUCGUCA